Trifolium pratense (red clover) is the source of this 2319-nucleotide long non-coding RNA. RefSeq lists it as uncharacterized. The transcript has 6 exons. NCBI's taxonomy places the organism in Eukaryota, Viridiplantae, Streptophyta, Magnoliopsida, Fabales, Fabaceae. The record is from RefSeq and is a predicted model, not a curated record.
ACGAUCUGCUUCUUGACAACGAGAGAACAAUCCUCUUCUUCUUUUUCUGCAAAUAAUAAUCCCUCUACAAUCAAACUCAUUCUUUCUCUUCGAACUUCGUUAAUGUUCCUCAUCACACCUCCAAUUCCAAUUUCGAUUCUUACGACUCAGACUUCAGAGACGAUUUUGGCACGCAACAAUCGUGUUUUCUUCUUCGCUCCUCAGAAUCGUGACUCAAACCCGAACAUAAUCAUCAUGUCUUCGUUCCUCAGAAUCGUGACUUAUAACCACCAAACAGUUUCAGCUUCCAAUCAGUAAGGUAAUGAGAAAGUGCGCCAUGUAAAUCAAGCUAACCACCAUAUGUACCUUUUCCUAGGAAUUGGUUCAGGAACAAUUAUGGUAGGUGCCCAUCUUAUUACAUGGAAUGUUGCAGACAGUUGCUAAGCGGAUGCAUCUGAAGUUGCAGAGGACAUUAAGGUUUUAACUUGGAAAUGGAGUGCUCAUAAAUUGAAGAUCGCCCCGUGUUUAUAUUACGAAUGGACAUGGGACCCAGGUAUUUGUUUUGAGCGCUGAUGAGCUCUGCUGAUUUUUUUUUAGCUGCCUUGACAGUCUUGUGGUUUUUUGCUAUCAGAAGAGACUGACUUUUGCUGCUACUGGUUUUUCUCUCUUUCUGUUUGGUGUGUUUUGUGGGAGUGGACUUGGUUUUAUUGUUUUGUGUUUCAAUUCUUGUUGGUUUCUAUCAUUUUAUCUUGUUUUUUGGUGUUGGUGGGCAUUUGUUUGUUUUUAGGUGUUCUCUACUGCUUGUUUUCCAUGUUCUACCUUGUAUCUCCAAUUUAUGUUGACUAAUCUAAUUGGUCAGCUGCUUGAUCUGGGAGGCCUACAAUAUUUAGCAGUUGCAGCCUGAGGUGUGGGUCUGCUAUGUAUUUAGUAGAUUGGAGGCUUGGUUUGAUGUUUAAAGACAUUUUGAGGUGGAUCAUUGUAAGUGUCAUUGUCCCUUGUUUCUUGCUUGUCGGCUGAAUGGUAUGUUUGGCAUUAGGCAAUCUCUUACUGUUUGGAGCUUUGCGAUGUUGUCUAGCUUUGCGAUGCCUGUGACUGUCUGGAGUUUUGUGUAGUUUCCUCUGCUGCUGUGUUAUCUUGCAGGGGUUGUUCAUUGGUUUUUAGUAGGAUGAACUUGUGUUAUUUUUGUUUUCAUCUACAAUGCUAAAACGUGCCCUCUUAGGAAGUUAUUUGUGUAAGUUUUGCACAUGAUCAAUUAAUUUUAACUUAAUUAUAUUUUAUGCCUCAAACUAUAUUGAACUUUAUUAAUAUUUUAGUUAGGGAUUUUUAAUAUUCUUUCCAUUUUUUAGAACAGGACAUUUUCUCAAGCAUGGUUUAUCUCUUCAUGGGUUCCAAAUGUCAUUGUUACUAAGAAGUAAGAAAACAGAAAAUCCACCUCAAGCAUUAAGUAAGAAGCAAUUGUUGAUGAGAGAUUUGAGGUAUCUCUUAUUUUACUCUUCUUAUUUUAAUUAUCAUUUGAUUGUGGUAUUAUAUUGCUAUUGCAAGUUUGUACGUAGUUUAAUAAUGAUUAAAAGUUUUGUAACAUUGUUGAUAAUGGCAUGUGUUAAGUUAAGAGACAAGGUUUGGUGACAUUUCUUAUCUCUUUCUCCUUGUCUUAGUGUUGUUUAAUACUUGUGAAUGUUACUUUUGUUUCUGAGUGUGAGUAUAUAUAUAUAUAUGCACUGCUAUGUAGUGUAAUUUGUAUUGGAAUUUUUGGUUUGUUCUUGUGAUGCACUGCUAUGUAAUCUCAUUAACUUAGCAACAAUGUCUUUGGUUUUGUUUCUGAGUAUAUAUAUGCACUACUAUGUAAUCUCAUUAACUUAAUGUCUUUGAUUAUUUUACAUUUUGUUCACGAAACACUUAUUCAGUGGUUAUAAUUACCAAAUCAAGAUUGAAUAUUUUUUAUCUUACUUAUUUUUUAUGUGUAUUGCUUUGAACUAUUAAUUAGCAUAUAUUGAAUAAUGUUGGGAAAGUUUAGAACAGUAUUUAAUAUUUUUAAAACGUAAUUUUUUUUAAAAUUUGCCAAACUUUUUACGUCGGUUGCACUAUAACCGAUCUAAUAGGUGCUGUCUUAGGUCGGGUCAAAAUCCGUAUUAACAACUACAUACUUCUUAUGUCGGCUUUUCUUGUGUCGGACGCGGAACGAUGUAAAAGGUCAAUUUUAACCGUCUUAAAAGCUCUUUCUUAGGUCGGUUCAAAAGCCGUGUUAACAACUCCAGACUUCUUAUGUCGGCUUUUCUUAGGUCAGACACGGAACCGACUUAAAAGGUCAAUUUUAACUGACUUAAAAAGCGUUUUUUCCAC